CUAAUGGGAAUGGGCGUGGCCUGGGAGAAGUGGGCGUGGCCUAAUGGAGGUGGGCGUGGCCUGCAGACCGUGGUGCUCCAGCCCCCAUGGAGUGGGCAUGGCCUAAUGGGAGUGGGCGUGGCCAAAGGGGGCGUGGCCAACGGCGGCGGGUGUGGCCGAUUGGGAGUGGGCGUGGCCAAUGCAAAUGGGCAUGAGUCUAUGGGGCUGGACCCGUGGGAGGUGGGGGCGUGGCUUUAUGGGGGGCGUGGCUUUAUGGGGGGCGUGGCCAAUGCAAAUGAGCGUGAGUUUAUGGGGCUGGACUCGUGGGAGGUGGGGGCGUGGCUUCUAUGGGGGGCGUGGCCAACAGGAAUGGGCGUGGCCAAUGCAAAUGAGCACAACUUCCUGCAGGUUCAUGUCGCUCAACCGCAGGGGGUGGGGGCGUGGCCAAAGGGGGGCGUGGCCAAAGUGGGCGUGGCCAAAGGGGGGGGGACCGUGGCCAAAGGGGGGCGUGGCCAAAGGGAAUGGGCGUGGCCAAUGCAAAUGAGCACGACUUCCCACGGGUUCAUGUCGCUCAACCGCGGGGGGUGGGGGCGUGGCCAAACGCGGGCGUGGCCAAACGGGGGGCGUGGCCAAACGGGAGGCGUGGCCAAAGGGGGCGUGGCCAAAGGGAACGGGCGUGGCCAAUGCAAACGGGCACAACUUCCCGCGGGUUCAUGUCGCUCAACUGCAGGGGGCGGGGGCGUGGCCAAAUGGGGGGCGUGGCCAACGGUGGUGGGUGUGGUCUAUAUGGGCGUGGCCAAAGGAAAUGGGCGUGGCCAAUGCAAAUGAGCACGACU
RNAcentral lists this long non-coding RNA (815 nucleotides) under Numida meleagris (helmeted guineafowl). RNAcentral describes it as "lncRNA (ENSNMEG00000003902.1)". The record is from RNAcentral. Lineage: Eukaryota; Metazoa; Chordata; Aves; Galliformes; Numididae.